This 176-nucleotide non-coding RNA is filed under the name Heterocapsa arctica. Lineage: Eukaryota; Dinophyceae; Peridiniales; Heterocapsaceae. The record is from RNAcentral.
GCUGCACCGGCCUGGAACUCCGCUCGCUCACCUGCCGUUGCGACACCCUCGGCUUCAAGCAAGUGCGGCGCCUCUGGACCGCCGGCAAGGACGCCAGGCUCCCGGAACCGGGCCAGAUCCGGAAGAAGACGCAGGCAACGUUCCUGGGCAGCAGCUGGUCCGCCGUGGGUUGGGCU